Molecule: ribosomal RNA, 443 nt
Filed under: uncultured Bacillota bacterium
Lineage: Bacteria; Bacillati; Bacillota
Description: bacterial SSU rRNA
Rfam family: Bacterial small subunit ribosomal RNA
Source: RNAcentral
GGGCCCGCACAAGCAGCGGAGCAUGUGGUUUAAUUCGAAGCAACGCGAAGAACCUUACCAGGUCUUGACAUUGAUGUAAACCUGUAGAGAUACGGGGUGCCUUCGGGCAACAGAAAACAGGUGGUGCAUGGUUGUCGUCAGCUCGUGUCGUGAGAUGUUGGGUUAAGUCCCGCAACGAGCGCAACCCUUGCGAUUGGUUGCUAACAGGUAGUGCUGAGAACUCCAAUAGGACCGCCGGGGACAACUCGGAGGAAGGUGGGGACGACGUCAAAUCAUCAUGCCCCUUAUGACCUGGGCUACACACGUGCUACAAUGGCCACUACAAAGAGGCGCGAUACCGUAAGGUGGAGCAGAUCUGUAAAAAAGUGGUCCCAGUUCGGAUUGAGGGCUGCAACCCGCCCUCAUGAAGUCGGAGUUGCUAGUAAUCGCGAAUCAGCAUGUCG